AACGAACGCUGGCGGCAUGCCUAACACAUGCAAGUCGAACGAGACCUUCGGGUCUAGUGGCGCACGGGUGCGUAACGCGUGGGAACCUGCCCUUAGGUUCGGAAUAACUCCCCGAAAGGGGUGCUAAUACCGGAUAAUGUCUUCGGACCAAAGAUCUAUCGCCUUUGGAUGGGCCCGCGUUGGAUUAGCUAGUUGGUAGGGUAAAGCCUACCAAGGCGACGAUCCAUAGCUGGUUGGCGAGGAUGAUCAGCCACACUGGGACUGAGACACGGCCCAGACUCCUACGGGAGGCAGCAGUGGGGAAUAUUGGACAAUGGGCGAAAGCCUGAUCCAGCAAUGCCGCGUGAGUGAUGAAGGCCUUAGGGUUGUGAAGCUCUUUUACCCGGGAUGAUAGUGACAGUACCGGGAGAAUAAGCUCCGGCUAACUCCGUG
RNAcentral lists this ribosomal RNA (432 nucleotides) under uncultured bacterium. RNAcentral describes it as "partial 16S ribosomal RNA". It matches the Rfam family "Bacterial small subunit ribosomal RNA", at positions 29 to 507 of the family's 1533-position model. The record is from RNAcentral.